This is a long non-coding RNA of Lactuca sativa (garden lettuce), 355 nucleotides long. RefSeq lists it as uncharacterized. The record is from RefSeq and is a predicted model, not a curated record. Lineage: Eukaryota; Viridiplantae; Streptophyta; Magnoliopsida; Asterales; Asteraceae.
CCUGGAAGUUACUUGUUAUGAUACUCAAAAUUAUUGAUUCAAAACAGUGAGUAAACUACCCUUUUUCUUGCUCUUUUGCUGUGAAAUUUUCGUGACAGCAACAUAGCCAAAAGAGUGGCUGUUUUGGAGCAUCAAACCAACAACCAAAAGUUCAUCUUCAACCUUCCAUUCUUCAAGUAUUCACAUAAGGGAACCGCUAAGCAGGUUUGGAAAUCAACUUUUGAGGAUUAACGUGCUGACGUUAAUUACUUCUUUUGAAAGAUGUUUAUGUAUUUAUCUUUUGAACAUGUAACGAAUACAAUUAUGUAAACAUUUUGGAAACCUUAAUAUGUAUGGUGGUGUGUACUUUCCUUUC